RNAcentral lists this ribosomal RNA (253 nucleotides) under uncultured bacterium. RNAcentral describes it as "partial 16S ribosomal RNA". It matches the Rfam family "Bacterial small subunit ribosomal RNA", at positions 524 to 776 of the family's 1533-position model. The record is from RNAcentral.
UACGUAGGGGGCAAGCGUUGUCCGGAUUUAUUGGGCGUAAAGAGCGUGUAGGCGGCCAGAUAGGUCUGCUGUGAAAACUCGAGGCUCAACCUCGAGCUGUCGGCGGAAACCAUUUGGCUAGAGUCCGGAAGAGGAAAGUGGAAUUCCUGGUGUAGCAGUGAAAUGCGCAGAUAUCAGGAAGAACACCCGUGGCGAAGGCGGCUUUCUGGGACGGUACUGACGCUGAGACGCGAAAGCGUGGGGAGCGAACAGG